AACCAAAUGGGGAUGGUACGAAAUGGAGCCGAGUCAUUAACUCCGAGAAUCACCUGGCGCUCAUCGGGCUGAUACCUCGUCUGAUCUGGAUGGGCUUGAUCGCCGCCAGCGGCUGGAGCGCCGAAGCACCGGGGACGCAGACCCACGGGUUGGCCAGCCACAAGCGCUCCUGCUCCUCACCCCCAGAGCAAGGAAUAAGACAUGGACACAUUUGAGAGGCCAUUUCUUCUGCUCACCACUAGGCCACAGGAAAUGAAAGCGGAUGCUAAUGGAGGAACCCACUGUCACCCACUGAGUUGGUAUGAAGAAUAUUUUAACUGAAACAUUUAAGAUACAGCAGAUACAGAAAGAAGCCUUUCUGGAGCGUCCCUUCAUUUGACUAAAGGCAGAGCUUUCAGAGAGUGAAGCUGCCAUAAAUUCCCUCUUGGGGAGCUGCACUGCCAGUAAGGAGACUUCACUGCCAGGAAGAAAGCUCCACUGCCAGGAAAGAGACCACUUGCACCAGAAUGACAAAUUGCAUAACCGAACAUAAUCACAAAUUGUCAUAUCUUCAUUUGUUUCCCUAAAAUCCCAUUUGUCUUUCCAUAAAAGCAUAUUUGUUUUCCCAUAGAUCCCUUUCUCUCCUCCUCCCUUUUCCCAUAUUGUUGGCAUAUAAACUCUCAUCUCUAACUGUACAGAGAGCCUCUUCAGCUGAAUAAGUGUAAAUAAACUUCGUAUGUUCUGUUAAUCCA
Long non-coding RNA from Sapajus apella (tufted capuchin), 731 nucleotides. RefSeq lists it as uncharacterized. The transcript has 2 exons. NCBI's taxonomy places the organism in Eukaryota, Metazoa, Chordata, Mammalia, Primates, Cebidae. The record is from RefSeq and is a predicted model, not a curated record.